ACUCCGGUUGAUCCUGCCGGACCCGACUGCUAUCGGAUUGGGAUUUAGCCAUGUUAGUUGUGCGUUCCUUGGCUACAGGGGACGCAGCGUACGGCUCAGUAACACGUAGUCAACCUGCCCUGGAGACGCGGACAAACCCGGGAAACUGGGGCCUAUCCGCGAUAGAUGGCCUCAUCUGGAAGGAGAGGCCGUCGAAAAGGGCGCACGGGUAUGCUCUGUGCGAAUCGCUCCAGGAUGGGACUGCGGCCGAUCAGGCUGUUGGCGGGGCAAUGGCCCACCAAACCUGUAACCGGUACGGGCUUUGAGAGAAGGAGCCCGGAGAUGGACACUGAGACAAGGGUCCAGGCCCUACGGGGCGCAUCAGGCGCGAAAACUUCGCAAUGCGCGAAAGCGUGACGAGGCUAGUCCGAGUGCCGCCUGCUAAAGGUGGCUUUUCUCGGCUGUAAAUAGGCCGGGGAAUGACUGGAGGGCAAGUCUGGUGUCAGACACCGCGAUCCGCCAAGCAACUCGCCUGGCAGCGGCCACUGCUAGGUCUCCGGCGCACGUACC
Molecule: ribosomal RNA, 549 nt
Filed under: Nitrososphaerota archaeon
Lineage: Archaea; Thermoproteati; Nitrososphaerota
Description: bacterial SSU rRNA
Rfam family: Archaeal small subunit ribosomal RNA
Source: RNAcentral